UCGCGAAUCAGCAUGUCGCGGUGAAUACGUUCCCGGGCCUUGUACACACCGCCCGUCACACCAUGAGAGUUGGCAAUACCCAACGUACGUGAUCUAACCCGCAAGGGAGGAAGCGUCCUAAGGUAGGGUCAGCGAUUGGGGUGAAGUCGUAACAAGGUAAC
RNAcentral lists this ribosomal RNA (161 nucleotides) under uncultured bacterium. Its description in RNAcentral is "partial 16S ribosomal RNA". It matches the Rfam family "Bacterial small subunit ribosomal RNA", at positions 1342 to 1500 of the family's 1533-position model. The record is from RNAcentral.